Molecule: ribosomal RNA, 306 nt
Filed under: uncultured bacterium
Lineage: Bacteria
Description: partial 16S ribosomal RNA
Rfam family: Bacterial small subunit ribosomal RNA
Source: RNAcentral
GACAGCAGCCGCCGCGGUAAUACGUAGGUCCCGAGCGUUGUCCGGAUUUAUUGGGCGUAAAGCGAGCGCAGGCGGUUAGAUAAGUCUGAAGUUAAAGGCUGUGGCUUAACCAUAGUACGCUUUGGAAACUGUUUAACUUGAGUGCAAGAGGGGAGAGUGGAAUUCCAUGUGUAGCGGUGAAAUGCGUAGAUAUAUGGAGGAACACCGGUGGCGAAAGCGGCUCUCUGGCUUGUAACUGACGCUGAGGCUCGAAAGCGUGGGGAGCAAACAGGAUUAGAUACCCCCGUAGUCCCUGUCUCUUAUACA